GUUUGAUCCUGGCUCAGGACGAACGCUGGCGGCGUGCUUAACACAUGCAAGUCGAACGAUGAACCACUUCGGUGGGGAUUAGUGGCGAACGGGUGAGUAACACGUGGGCAAUCUGCCCUGCACUCUGGGACAAGCCCUGGAAACGGGGUCUAAUACCGGAUAUUGACCUUCACGGGCAUCUGUGAGGUUCGAAAGCUCCGGCGGUGCAGGAUGAGCCCGCGGCCUAUCAGCUUGUUGGUGAGGUAAUGGCUCACCAAGGCGACGACGGGUAGCCGGCCUGAGAGGGCGACCGGCCACACUGGGACUGAGACACGGCCCAGACUCCUACGGGAGGCAGCAGUGGGGAAUAUUGCACAAUGGGCGAAAGCCUGAUGCAGCGACGCCGCGUGAGGGAUGACGGCCUUCGGGUUGUAAACCUCUUUCAGCAGGGAAGAAGCGAAAGUGACGGUACCUGCAGAAGAAGCGCCGGCUAACUACGUGCCAGCAGCCGCGGUAAUACGUAGGGCGCAAGCGUUGUCCGGAAUUAUUGGGCGUAAAGAGCUCGUAGGCGGCUUGUCACGUCGGUUGUGAAAGCCCGGGGCUUAACCCCGGGUC
RNAcentral lists this ribosomal RNA (594 nucleotides) under Streptomyces sp. Sp080513M2-23. Its description in RNAcentral is "bacterial SSU rRNA". It matches the Rfam family "Bacterial small subunit ribosomal RNA", at positions 11 to 621 of the family's 1533-position model. Lineage: Bacteria; Bacillati; Actinomycetota; Actinomycetes; Kitasatosporales; Streptomycetaceae. The record is from RNAcentral.